AUUGAACGCUGGCGGCAGGCCUAACACAUGCAAGUCGAGCGGCAGCGGGAAAGUAGCUUGCUACUUUUGCCGGCGAGCGGCGGACGGGUGAGUAAUGCCUGGGAAAUUGCCCAGUCGAGGGGGAUAACAGUUGGAAACGACUGCUAAUACCGCAUACGCCCUACGGGGGAAAGCAGGGGACCUUCGGGCCUUGCGCGAUUGGAUAUGCCCAGGUGGGAUUAGCUUGUUGGUGAGGUAAUGGCUCACCAAGGCGACGAUCCCUAGCUGGUCUGAGAGGAUGAUCAGCCACACUGGAACUGAGACACGGUCCAGACUCCUACGGGAGGCAGCAGUGGGGAAUAUUGCACAAUGGGGGAAACCCUGAUGCAGCCAUGCCGCGUGUGUGAAGAAGGCCUGGUUGUAAAGCACUUUCAGCGAGGAGGAAAGGUUAGAUCGCUAAUACGCAUCAGCUGUGACGUUACUCGCAGAAGAAGA
This 474-nucleotide ribosomal RNA is filed under the name uncultured bacterium. RNAcentral's name for it is "bacterial SSU rRNA". It matches the Rfam family "Bacterial small subunit ribosomal RNA", at positions 30 to 491 of the family's 1533-position model. The record is from RNAcentral.